UACGGGGGGGGUAAGCGUUGUUCGGAAUUACUGGGCGUAAAGGGCUCGUAGGCGGCCAACUAAGUCGGACGUGAAAUCCCUCAGCUUAACUGGGGAACUGCGUCCGAUACUGGAUGGCUUGGAUUUGGGAGAGGGAUGCGGAAUUCCAGGUGUAGCGGUGAAAUGCGUAGAUAUCUGGAGGGAUACCGGUGGCGAAGGCGGCAUCCUGGACCGGCAUUGACGCUGAGGAGCGAAAGCCAGGGGAGCAAACGGG
This 253-nucleotide ribosomal RNA is filed under the name uncultured bacterium. RNAcentral describes it as "partial 16S ribosomal RNA". It matches the Rfam family "Bacterial small subunit ribosomal RNA", at positions 524 to 776 of the family's 1533-position model. The record is from RNAcentral.